This 1545-nucleotide ribosomal RNA is filed under the name Escherichia coli. Its description in RNAcentral is "partial 23S ribosomal RNA". It matches the Rfam family "Bacterial large subunit ribosomal RNA", at positions 1318 to 2843 of the family's 2925-position model. The record is from RNAcentral. Lineage: Bacteria; Pseudomonadati; Pseudomonadota; Gammaproteobacteria; Enterobacterales; Enterobacteriaceae.
CGGGUGAAAAGCCCGCUCGCCGGAAGACCAAGGGUUCCUGUCCAACGUUAAUCGGGGCAGGGUGAGUCGACCCCUAAGGCGAGGCCGAAAGGCGUAGUCGAUGGGAAACAGGUUAAUAUUCCUGUACUUGGUGUUACUGCGAAGGGGGGACGGAGAAGGCUAUGUUGGCCGGGCGACGGUUGUCCCGGUUUAAGCGUGUAGGCUGGUUUUCCAGGCAAAUCCGGAAAACUAAGGCUGAGGCGUGAUGACGAGGCACUACGGUGCUGAAGCAACAAAUGCCCUGCUUCCAGGAAAAGCCUCUAAGCAUCAGGUAACAUCAAAUCGUACCCCAAACCGACACAGGUGGUCAGGUAGAGAAUACCAAGGCGCUUGAGAGAACUCGGGUGAAGGAACUAGGCAAAAUGGUGCCGUAACUUCGGGAGAAGGCACGCUGAUAUGUAGGUGAAGUCCCUCGCGGAUGGAGCUGAAAUCAGUCGAAGAUACCAGCUGGCUGCAACUGUUUAUUAAAAACACAGCACUGUGCAAACACGAAAGUGGACGUAUACGGUGUGACGCCUGCCCGGUGCCGGAAGGUUAAUUGAUGGGGUCAGCGCAAGCGAAGCUCUUGAUCGAAGCCCCGGUAAACGGCGGCCGUAACUAUAACGGUCCUAAGGUAGCGAAAUUCCUUGUCGGGUAAGUUCCGACCUGCACGAAUGGCGUAAUGAUGGCCAGGCUGUCUCCACCCGAGACUCAGUGAAAUUGAACUCGCUGUGAAGAUGCAGUGUACCCGCGGCAAGACGGAAAGACCCCGUGAACCUUUACUAUAGCUUGACACUGAACAUUGAGCCUUGAUGUGUAGGAUAGGUGGGAGGCUUUGAAGUGUGGACGCCAGUCUGCAUGGAGCCGACCUUGAAAUACCACCCUUUAAUGUUUGAUGUUCUAACGUUGACCCGUAAUCCGGGUUGCGGACAGUGUCUGGUGGGUAGUUUGACUGGGGCGGUCUCCUCCUAAAGAGUAACGGAGGAGCACGAAGGUUGGCUAAUCCUGGUCGGACAUCAGGAGGUUAGUGCAAUGGCAUAAGCCAGCUUGACUGCGAGCGUGACGGCGCGAGCAGGUGCGAAAGCAGGUCAUAGUGAUCCGGUGGUUCUGAAUGGAAGGGCCAUCGCUCAACGGAUAAAAGGUACUCCGGGGAUAACAGGCUGAUACCGCCCAAGAGUUCAUAUCGACGGCGGUGUUUGGCACCUCGAUGUCGGCUCAUCACAUCCUGGGGCUGAAGUAGGUCCCAAGGGUAUGGCUGUUCGCCAUUUAAAGUGGUACGCGAGCUGGGUUUAGAACGUCGUGAGACAGUUCGGUCCCUAUCUGCCGUGGGCGCUGGAGAACUGAGGGGGGCUGCUCCUAGUACGAGAGGACCGGAGUGGACGCAUCACUGGUGUUCGGGUUGUCAUGCCAAUGGCACUGCCCGGUAGCUAAAUGCGGAAGAGAUAAGUGCUGAAAGCAUCUAAGCACGAAACUUGCCCCGAGAUGAGUUCUCCCUGACUCCUUGAGAGUCCUGAAGGAACGUUGAAG